Dermacentor silvarum is the source of this 3627-nucleotide long non-coding RNA. RefSeq lists it as uncharacterized. The record is from RefSeq and is a predicted model, not a curated record. The transcript is spliced from 4 exons. Lineage: Eukaryota; Metazoa; Arthropoda; Arachnida; Ixodida; Ixodidae.
GCAUUAACAACAACAGCUGUUCGGGAACGACGAACCUCGCCGACCAGCCGUCACAGGCGCGCGGCGCUCCGUGCAUUUCUGCUCUCGGCCACACGCGGAGAAGUUAACGCAAGUUUGUCGCUGCGGGAUACAUCUGGCGGAGAUUCUCUGGUCUCUCGGGUGUGUCUCCUAGACAUCGAAGAGUCAUUGUACAGGCGCAGCGAUCCGAUUCCAAAAGAAGGCGCGACCUGUCCUUUGCGGUCUCCAGCCAUGGCUCACCGAACUUCAACGGUGACUGUUCCGUGGAACGGCCCGUUAACGGAUAUGUCCCACCAUCCCACGCAGCGGGCAGGAAUCUACUCGUCCAACAAGUAUAUCUCCUUCUGGCUGCUCGGAUCCUUGAGCAUCGCGCUGCUCCUGCUCAUUAUGUUGCUCGGCCUCUGCUCCAAGCGCGUCGCGCACCGCGGAAGGCGCGCAUCCCGAGAGCAGGCUCACGUUCUUCCAGGUGGCAACGCUUGCUGCGAGAGCGGGCCGCUACCCGCGGCCUCCAGUGGGUGACCUACACUCGCGCGAGAUCUUGCUCUGCGCAGCCUGCCGAAGUGCCCAGGACGAAAUGUUCCGGUUGGCCAAGGCCGCUCCUGUCCCCGGCUCGGCCGCCCGCUGGAGUCCCCCUCCCCCCUACACUCCGCGACCUGUGCUACCUUCCAAUACUCCUCCUGGAACUCCCUCGCACCUGUGACGAAAGGAGAUUGUGAGCAAGUUCUUUGCUGGCACAGUGACGACAGUCGAGACAGUCAUCGUGGCUCUGGUCACAGAUGAAAGUGGCAAACGCUGUCUACUCGUGGUGUGAAUAUCGUUGCUACACACAAGACAGCGUGGUGUUCUAUAGAUGUCUUCCUUCCAUCUCUGCUACCUGUCUUAUCCCUCCGGCAAGAGAGCCUGCGAGAAAAUGCCAAAGUAAAUGCUCGUCUGCGGCAAGUGCUAAUGUACAUUUUUAAGUCGCUCUCACAGUACGCCGCACCAACAAGUUGCUGAACCUUUUUGCGCUGAAAAUGCAAGCACACAAGUAAUCGGAAAGUGCACUGUGCAAUAUCACUACAGUCGAAGCGAGAAUAUGGGCCAAAUAUUACCGGUCAGAUACACUCAACCGGCAAUCAACAAUGUUGCAUUUAUUUAGAUACUAGCAGCAUGGUAACGUAUGAUUUCUCAAUGAACCAUUGUAAUCAGGUACAUCUGUUAGCUUUUCUCUUACCGAGCGAUGGUCCUCACCGAUAAAUAAAAGGGGAGAAAAGAGCACGCGCCGUCACGUGAUGAUUGCGCCAGAGAGCAGCUGUUCAUGAUAAGGCAUUGGAAUGGCUUAUAUUUGCGAAAUUUUUUGUUAGAAAUAUGGCGCUGGCAUAAGUCACACUUCCAUCGACACGACUUUUACUAAUAUCAUUUUGGGACAAAAACAUUCGUGAAGUUCCUCUUCAAACCACUCGCUGACACAGGAGGAAGGACACGCAGAGAGAGAGAGAGAGAGAGAAAACAACUUUUAUUGUAAACGGCAAGUGUAAGAGGAGUUUAUCUCCCCUCCCUUAGAUGGUGGCCAGGAGCCCUUGGGUCCUAGCAGAGAUAACUUUUUCUGUGUGCAUUUUCAUGCGGAACUACUGGGGGAGAGAGAGAAAAAAGGUAAAGGAAAGACAGGGAGUUUAACCAGAGGUUAUCUCCGGUUGGCUACCCUGUACUGGGGGAAGGGUAAAGAGAUGCGAAAGGAGAGAGAGAGAAAAAACAAGUAAAAGUAAAAGAAGGAAAGAAAGAAAAGAAAAUCACACACACACGCACACACAAAACAGAACCGUUUCUGUGGGCACUGUCACGCAGUCUGCGAAGGUGUUCUCUUGUUGCAUAGUGUCAAGGCUCGCUGUGCGUAGGAGGAAGGAGCUGACAAGAUGGCUUACCGCAUAAGGAAUGUUUCCUGUCCAUUCUUUGAGCAGUGAAGUAGAGCACAGUGAUGAUGACCUAUCGCCAUUGUGCCACUCGAUCGCUCGAAACUUUUUGUACAGCUUCCUUAAAGAAACAGAGUUAGAACACUGCACACGUGCCAAUAAAGAAAAACAGAAGUAAACCAUGCGCUCUGCUCUGCAAAAGUUGAUACAUGCACAUCGCCUAAAAACUGAACGUUUCACGUGCUUUAUACAUAACUGAGGUCACAGUUAUGCUGAUUCUCAGCCUAUGGUCGCAGAGAAUAAAAAAAAACUAUGCAAACUUUUAUCUUUCAUUCCUUUUCCUGUCAUUAUUUGCAACGUUUAAGGUACAAGCUUUCACUCUGAUAGGAUGCCUUUACUGCAAAGAGAUCCUACCAUGACUGCAAGAAGUCAUCAUAAAAUCCAUAGAAAUUUGCAUUAGCAAGCAUUGGAUCUCGUAACUUAGGGUGAAUACUAUAUUCCAUUCAGCAUACAGCUGUCGACAUAUGUGUUUUCUUCACAUAUGGAUUAGUUAAAAAACUGAUGAACGUUGUUCUGAUACUGACUUACGGUCAAUUCCGUUGCGACUCCUUACCCAUCCGAACGUGAAGGAUCGCGCAUACGUACGGACUGUGGGCCCAUAUUAAAACAAAAAGUGAUCAUACAAGAACUGUUCGUAAGAGGAGCUGUCAGUCAAUCGGGGUAUUGACAUAGGCGGCCUGCCAGUAUAAAACUGCUCUUACAAAUGAGAAUAUUUGUCAAUUCGCCCCUUGAGAUUUAUAUUUAUCUUGACAAGUAUGCUAGGAUCUGAUUCCAUCCAGAGACCGGUUUAAACGCCUCAGAAAAUGCGCACUGUAGAACCGCGCGAUAAAAAUUAGCGCUCUUCACAAAGUUUUGUAUGUCUAUAUCCUCAAGGAUAUGCUGACCUAUCGACGUCGACAUCAUGCUGUUUGUGGCUUCAGGUCUAAAUAGGCAUUUUUCUAAAGGCCAUGACAGCUUUUUCGUCAUCCAAGUACCAAUUAAUUUUAUUGUUAAAUCAGUUCUGCCUAAGACUGCCUAAAAUGCGGAAACAAUAACGACGCAUCUCGUUUUUCCCGGCACAAAAACAAAUUGUACAUUAUAGUAGACGCAUCUUGUUUUUCACGGCACCACAAUAAAGUGUACAUUAUAGUAAUCCAAAAUUGGUUUGUUUGCUUUUUGAUUCAAGGACUUCAUUCAGAUAUACCUAACAAUACCCAUGCUUUCCUAUGAAAGGGAAAAUUCUCAGUACUGGGAUCGUAAUGCGUCGAGCAUGAUAACUCGGGUUAUAUGGAAUCACCAACGCGUGAAGCACUAACGACAAUGUUAAAAUUGCCAACAUGGCUGUCUUUUGCGCAAUUAGUAAGGCAUGCACCGUCUACAAUCCAAGCAUGUCUCUGGCUGCACUUGCGGAAAGCAAAAGGUGUGAUCGGAGAGCAGUACAGUAAAACUCGGACAGCAACGAUAAGCCAAAGGCGUCGGCGUUUUCGUUGAAAGGUAACGGCACGCACAGGCACGCGCGCGCGAACUGGAACCAUGAUAGGAACCCGCGCGCGCUACAGCGCAAAAUACGAGAUCGCAUUAUUUGCAGUUUUAUCUGCAGAUCAUCCUUCCCGGCCGUUCGAGUACAUGUGCAGUCUUGUCGGAGAGAACUGGGCAGGACUGGCAGGCUGGUUCUUGGUGU